RNAcentral lists this small RNA (29 nucleotides) under Bombyx mori (domestic silkworm). Its description in RNAcentral is "ovarian small RNA-17437". The record is from RNAcentral. Lineage: Eukaryota; Metazoa; Arthropoda; Insecta; Lepidoptera; Bombycidae.
GGCCUUGGGGCAUCCGCGGUAGUUGGCUG